UGCAUCGAUGAAGAACGCAGCGAAACGCGAUAGGUAGUGUGAAUUGCAGAAUUCCGUGAAUCAUCGAAUCUUUGAACGCACCUUGCGCUCCAUGGCAUUCCGUGGAGCAUGCCUGUUUGAGUGCCGUGAAAUCUCCCACCCCUAGCGGUUGCCGCAAGGCGCCGCCGGGCGGCGGGGUUGGUUGGGUGCCGCUGCCUGGGCUUUGGCCCAGGCUCGCCCGAAAUGCAUGAGCGCUUAGCACUCGCACCGUCUCGAGGGAAGGCGGCGGAGCUGGCAUCUGCGCAUGGCAUGAUACGUCAUUUGCUGUGUGGCAGCCCAGCGACCCGAGAGUGUGUGUGCGCUACUACACGCCCUUUCAUUUCUGGUCUCAAAUCAGGUAGGAUCACCCGCUGAACUUAAGCAUAUCAAUAAGCGGAGGA
RNAcentral lists this ribosomal RNA (419 nucleotides) under uncultured fungus. RNAcentral's name for it is "eukaryotic LSU rRNA". The stretch from base 1 to 126 matches the Rfam family "5.8S ribosomal RNA", at positions 29 to 154 of the family's 154-position model. The record is from RNAcentral. Lineage: Eukaryota; Fungi.